AAAAUCAAAGUUGGAUGGUUUCUCCAUUCACCAUUUCCUUCUUCCGAGA
This 49-nucleotide small RNA is filed under the name Arabidopsis thaliana (thale cress). RNAcentral's name for it is "ATSL011420". Lineage: Eukaryota; Viridiplantae; Streptophyta; Magnoliopsida; Brassicales; Brassicaceae. The record is from RNAcentral.